AUGAUGGCCACGGAGCUCUUCGCGCCGCACCGUCUCGACGCGCUCCACCACCUCCGGAUCGAGAAGGUGGGCGAGCUCAUGGACCACGUCGCGCUGCUGGCGCGCGACGGCAAGCCGGUGAACGUGGGGCGCGUGGCCUUCACGACCAGCCUGAACCUGCUCUCCCGCACCAUCUUCUCCCACGACCUCACGAGCCUCGACGACGACAGCCGCUCCGGGGAGUUCCAGGAGGUGGUGACGGCCAUCAUGGAGGCCGUGGGGACCCCCAACCUGUCGGACUUCUUCCCGGUGCUCGCGCCGGCCGACCUCCAGGGCACGCGCCGGCGGCUGGCGAAGCUGUUCGCGCGGCUGCACGUGGUGUUCGACGCCGAGGUGGACCAGAGGCUGCGUGCCCGCGACGCCGGCCAGCCCAGGAAGAACGACUUCCUGGACGUGCUGCUCGACGUGGCGGCGCGUGAGGAUGGCAAGGACCUGCUCGACCGCCAGACGCUACGCUCACUUUUCACGGAUUUGUUUGCCGCCGGCAGUGACACAAGCUCUAGCACAGUGGAAUGGGCAAUGACCGAGCUUCUCCAAAAUCCAUCAUCAUUAGCUAAGGCUUGCAAUGAGCUUGAACAAGUUAUCGGCCCAAGAAGAAACAUUGAAGAAGCUGACAUUGUUCGGUUGCCCUAUAUUCAAGCUAUCAUAAAAGAGACUUUUCGACUCCAUCCUCCUGCUCCACUCUUGUUGCCACGCCAACCUGAGGCAACACUGAAAAUAGCAGGCUACACAAUACCGAAAGGUUCACGCGUUUUCAUAAACGUAUGGGCGAUAGGUCGAGAUAAAGAUGUAUGGGAUGAACCUGAGAAAUUUAUGCCGGAAAGGUUCCUGGGUUCCACAAUUGACUUUAGAGGUGCGGAUUUUGAGCUCCUUCCAUUUGGUGCCGGACGUCGGAUCUGCCCUGGGAUGACAUUGGCAACUAGGAUGGUGCAUUUGAUCCUCGCUUCGUUGUUACAUCAGUUUAAGUGGGGUCUCCCUGCUGAGCUGGAAAGGGAUGGGAUUGACAUGGAAGAUAAGUUUGGCCUCACACUUACUAAGGUCGUUCCCCUUUGUAUUGUAGCAACACCAGUUUGA
This 1113-nucleotide ribosomal RNA is filed under the name Triticum aestivum (bread wheat). Its description in RNAcentral is "partial small subunit ribosomal RNA". Lineage: Eukaryota; Viridiplantae; Streptophyta; Magnoliopsida; Poales; Poaceae. The record is from RNAcentral.